RNAcentral lists this long non-coding RNA (3784 nucleotides) under Cricetulus griseus (Chinese hamster). RNAcentral describes it as "lncRNA (ENSCGRG00015042184.1)". The record is from RNAcentral. Lineage: Eukaryota; Metazoa; Chordata; Mammalia; Rodentia; Cricetidae.
GCUCCGCAGCGUCGCCCCGCCCACUGCGCGGCCUGUCCCCACCCCCUCGGUGCCCGGCGGCUCGUGUGCGGCCCAUUUGCCCAGGUCUGGAGGGUUUGGCGGGGCCGGCAGGAAGGAAGCCGCGGAGCGGACGCGGUGGGCGUGUGGGAUAGAGACGACGCGGGUGACCAGGUCGCAGCCGCUGGGCGUGGGCAGGGCGGAGAGCGGAGGACACUGAGGAGCCGGAGUGCACAUGUGAAACGUAUGGCCACUGUUCUGCAGCCGUCCAGGCACGAAAGGUGCUGUCCCGUGAGCCGGCUCGCGGCGACACUUGUGCAGAGCCGGGGAGGCCCGGGACCGCGCGAGCGGCGGUUUCCUUUGGCCAUUAGGCCCCGCCCACGAGGGCAAUUCCGCCGGCUCUAGGACAGGCUCCGCCCACCGCAUGCCUCGGGGGCGGGUCCACUGAGGCUCCGCCCACGGGCCCCACACCUCUCCCUUCGUCCCCGCCCACGCAAGCAAAGGCGCUCGGUCCCGAGCAGGCUCCACCCACCGCGGUCCAGGGUGGAGACCACCGAGUCCCCAGGAGCCCACGUGCCAAGGUUCACGCAAGACCCACCCCCAAGGCCAAGCCGGCUUCCCCGGCAUAGGCACCGCCCACCUUACGUCUUGGGGACUGGAUCCACCGGGGCCGCGCCCGUUUGCUGCGCAUCUACCUGCACGCCCCGCCCAUCGGCCCGGCCCACCGAAGCAAGCCGGCUCUUUCCCGGUUCUGCUGCAACUGGGCGACCCUGGACCGUUGGGAUUUUUGUGGUCUGAUUUGCAUAUGGUCAUAAGUCUGUAAGAAAACUGCAUCAUAGAGACCAGGGAUCACUCGAUUCUCUGCCUUCCCUGGUAGCUCUUUAUCGAGGGAACAGGCUUAGCUCUCUAAUUCGCUACUUCCACUGACCUUUAUUGGACAUCCCAUAUUGAUGGAGCGCGCUAGCAAGUAGACGCUCGCUCACUCGGAUGAUUUAGGAGCUGCCUUCGUCGAACCCAGGGCCUUGAGCAUGCCAGGCAAAUGCCAGGUCCCUCAGCUACAUACAUGCUCAGCCUAAGGCAGUGUAUUUUUUUUUUUUUUUUCUUUUGAGACGGUUUCUCUGUAUUGCUUUGGAGGUUGUCCUGGAAGUCGCUCGGUAGCCCAGGCUGGCCUCGAACUCAUAAUCCUCCUGCCUCUGCCUCUUUCAGCAAAUCCCACUGGCGUGUGCCACCACAACUGGCCAGUGUAUCCUCUUAACCCUUGUUUUUGUUUUGUUUUGUUUUGCCUUUGAAAAUGCCAAGCAAAGCAUUUCGGUUGUUCUCCCCAAAGUGCUGUACGAGAAAACAAACAAGAUCUGAAGGUGCUGAGGGAGGUUCUGAGAGUUUUGUCUGAGGGUGCACCUAGAUAAAAGUAAGCUUCAGGUAGGCAUGCCAGGCCAGAACGGUCGUAUUUGCAGAAGAAACCAUGAUUUCUCUCUUAAGUGGGCUAAUAAUUUCUCUAAAACAAAUGGUUAAAGCACAAAAAAACAAAAACAAACAAAAAAACAGUGCCUGGUAUUAAUUUGACAUUAACAAAAACAAAACAAAAACAAAUGCAACUUAGCAUGGUACAAAUCCCAAUCAGAAAGGAGUAGAUCUGAAGCUAUUGCAUUUGGGCCAUGGAAUGAAAAGGAGUGUGGGCUUCUCAGAGAUUAAGUCAGUGCUGCCAAAGUCCCCGUACCACCGUGCAUGGUCCAGAGUGGCACAUCCUUGAUCCGUUUGACAGACACUUGGCUGUACAUCCCCGAUGCAAACCACUGCACAAAAAACUUUCCUUUUUGGUGGCAGGGAGUCUCCCUUGUCCUCUGGUAAUUUGCAGGCCUGGAUGGAAACAAGAAACCCUGUGUCACCCUGCAGGAGACAAGUCUGCAAGGGAAGCGGUGGGGAUGGUAUAGCCCAGGACACAAUAAAGUGGGGUGCAGGAUGUUUUGCUGCUGGAGAGGAGAUGGGAAGGACAGUCUCUGAUUGGACGGGAACGGCUUGCUGGGGAGCUGGGCUUGCCUCCCAGUGCAGCGAGGAUGCUAGAGUUUAGCUGGAUAUGAACACCUUUUCAUUUCCUCAAGACGGGAACAUGUCAUCCUGCCAGGAGGCUCUCUAAACAGGAAGGUAAGCAACUCAAUAUAGUCCAUGGAAACCCCUGAAACUGACCUGAUUCACUAGGCCCCUCCCUGCCAGAGUAAGCAAUAAAAGCAAGAGUUCCCCUCAGAGGGAAGGAAGCUGAGCUACAAAGACUCAUGGAAAGAAGACCAACUGAGGGACCUGGAAGGGACACUCUCCAGCCUGUUGAACUCCCUUCAGGCAGUGCUGUGUGCUCCAGGUUCCAAGAUUUGUUAAAUGUCACCCAUACUGGGGUGGCUUUAGUGAUGCAGCUGUCUUUGAGUCAUUUCUGCUCCUGGCUUCCCGUGCUCCUAAGCCAGCUGGAGCGCAAGACAGCCCAGGAGGACCUUUCCUGUUGAGGACCAAAAACAUGGCCAAAAGCCUGGAACUUGGAUCUUGAGGGUCCUUUGGGUAGAGAGGAAUCGGGGCAGGGAGGGGGUGGCAGAAUGGCAGAGUUUGGAAAGGGCAGACUAUGGUUUGUGUGUAGACUUAGCCGAGAACUCUUCCCCUCCACCCCCAGACAGGGUUUCUCUGUGUAGCUUUGGAGCCUGUCCUGGAACUCAUUCUGUAGACCAGGCUGACCUUGAACUCACAGAGAUCCGCCUGCCUUGGCCUCCCAAGUUGUGCGCCACCAACGCCCGGCUUAGCCUCAAACUCUUUAAAGGAGUGGUUCUUAAGAUGGGUACCAUUGUCCCCUAGGGUCCACUGGGCAGUGUCUGGAGGCAAUUUGGGUUGAUGCAACUGGGUGGGUGAGGUGCUGUCACCGUCCCAUGGAUAGAGGCCAGGAUCACCUCGAACCUUCCCGUGGUAUACAGGGUGGCCCUACCAGGAAGUGUCUUCCAGCCCCAAAGUCAGCAGUACAGCAAUAUAGAAACGCUGGUCUAAACUCAGGCAAAAGGGAUGUGAUGCCAUUGGUCCUGCCCUCUCUGGUGGUCACCAGGUGUCACAGACAACUGUGGUGCGGAAGCCAGAACCUUGGGCACAGACUUUAUUUAGGAGGAUAUUGUUCACCUGAAUGGACCCGAAGCUGGCUGGACAUGCUUCACACCCCACCUUCCUGUUGUCUCCUCGGCUGCCAGUAUAACUUGGAGACCUGACUGUUCCUGGGAAAGCUGAGCCUAGCCCCUGCUCAGGGGAACAGGGUUCCCUCCAAGGUUACUCUUGGUCUGGGGAGGACCGGAGGGAGAGGCUGAUUUGUGUAUGUUCCAGAUUCUGAGUUGUGAGGGAGAGGUACUGAGUAAGCCUUUCCAUUGCCACCAUGUAUGAGAAUGCACAAGACGGAAUUUGCAGCAUUGUAAGCUUUGUUUCUCUUUCAUUUUUACUAUAGUGCUGUGGAGGGAUAUUUUUUCAGGCUGACUUUUUGUGACUUCCCAGAGCUGUGCUGAGUAAAACUCCAGCUAUUGGUGAUGAGAAAAGUCUGCAGUAAAUGUCCCUGGCUUUUGAACUUCAUCUGGACCUGCUUCCUGAAGAAGCCAGCUUGCAAACACACACACUGGAGACCAGAUCCCUUGAGUGUCAGCCAGUUUGCCAGGGAAGCAAGGGGCUGGUUUCACCCUUGUAACUGGAGAGGUGGACUGUGCUUUGGCAGUGUGACUGAUUGGUGUCCUUUGUGGCUGUCUCAUGGGGAUGACUUCCUUUGCCUGUCUGUGGAGGU